RNAcentral lists this ribosomal RNA (1443 nucleotides) under uncultured organism. RNAcentral's name for it is "16S ribosomal RNA". It matches the Rfam family "Bacterial small subunit ribosomal RNA". The record is from RNAcentral.
ACGAACGCUGGCGGCGUGCUUAACACAUGCAAGUCGAACGGAAAGGCCCUGCUUUUGUGGGGUGCUCGAGUGGCGAACGGGUGAGUAACACGUGAGUAACCUGCCCUUGACUUUGGGAUAACUUCAGGAAACUGGGGCUAAUACCGGAUAGGAGCUCCUGCUGCAUGGUGGGGGUUGGAAAGUUUCGGCGGUUGGGGAUGGACUCGCGGCUUAUCAGCUUGUUGGUGGGGUAGUGGCUUACCAAGGCUUUGACGGGUAGCCGGCCUGAGAGGGUGACCGGCCACAUUGGGACUGAGAUACGGCCCAGACUCCUACGGGAGGCAGCAGUGGGGAAUAUUGCACAAUGGGCGGAAGCCUGAUGCAGCAACGCCGCGUGCGGGAUGACGGCCUUCGGGUUGUAAACCGCUUUCGCCUGUGACGAAGCGUGAGUGACGGUAAUGGGUAAAGAAGCACCGACUAGCUACGUGCCAGCAGCCGCGGUGAUACGUAGGGUGCGAGCGUUGUCCGGAUUUAUUGGGCGUAAAGGGCUCGUAGGUGGUUGAUCGCGUCGGAAGUGUAAUCUUGGGGCUUAACCCUGAGCGUGCUUUCGAUACGGGUUGACUUGAGGAAGGUAGGGGAGAAUGGAAUUCCUGGUGGAGCGGUGGAAUGCGCAGAUAUCAGGAGGAACACCAGUGGCGAAGGCGGUUCUCUGGGCCUUUCCUGACGCUGAGGAGCGAAAGCGUGGGGAGCGAACAGGCUUAGAUACCCUGGUAGUCCACGCUGUAAACGGUGGGUACUAGGUGUGGGGUCCAUUCCACGGGUUCCGUGCCGUAGCUAACGCUUUAAGUACCCCGCCUGGGGAGUACGGCCGCAAGGCUAAAACUCAAAGGAAUUGACGGGGCCCCGCACAAGCGGCGGAGCAUGCGGAUUAAUUCGAUGCAACGCGUAGAACCUUACCUGGGUUUGACAUGGAUCGGGAGUGCUCAGAGAUGGGUGUGCCUCUUUUGGGGUCGGUUCACAGGUGGUGCAUGGCUGUCGUCAGCUCGUGUCGUGAGAUGUUGGGUUAAGUCCCGCAACGAGCGCAACCCUUGUUCACUGUUGCCAGCACGUUAUGGUGGGGACUCAGUGGAGACCGCCGGGGUCAACUCGGAGGAAGGUGGGGAUGACGUCAAGUCAUCAUGCCCCUUAUGUCCAGGGCUUCACGCAUGCUACAAUGGCUGGUACAGAGAGUGGCGAGCCUGUGAGGGUGAGCGAAUCUCGGAAAGCCGGUCUCAGUUCGGAUUGGGGUCUGCAACUCGACCUCAUGAAGUCGGAGUCGCUAGUAAUCGCAGAUCAGCAACGCUGCGGUGAAUACGUUCCCGGGGCUUGUACACACCGCCCGUCAAGUCAUGAAAGUUGGUAACACCCGAAGCCGGUGGCCUAACCGUUGUGGGGGAGCCGUCGAAGGUGGGACUGGUGAUUAGG